RNA transcript from Carlito syrichta (Philippine tarsier), 1411 nucleotides. It is a transcript of the gene named histone-binding protein RBBP4 pseudogene, with no coding region annotated. Lineage: Eukaryota; Metazoa; Chordata; Mammalia; Primates; Tarsiidae. The record is from RefSeq and is a predicted model, not a curated record. The transcript has a single exon.
AGAGACAGUGAAAAAGGAGAAUUUGGAGGUUUUGGUUUGGCUAGUGGAAAAGUUGAAAUAGAAAUCAAAAUCAACCAUGAAGGAGAAGUAAACAGGGCCAGUCAUAUGCCCCAGAACCCUUGCAUCAUUGCAACAAAGACUCCAUCCAGCGAUGUUCUUGUUUUUGACUAUACAAAACAUCCUUCUAAACCAGACCCUUCUGGAGAGCGCAACCCAGAUUUAUGUCUUCGUGGACAUCAGAAGGAAGGCUAUGGACUUUCUUGGAACCCACAUCUCAGUGGGCACUUACUUAGUGCUUCAGAUGACCAUACCAUCUGCCUAUGGGACAGCAGUGCCGUUCCAAAGAAAGGAAAAGUAGUGAAUGUGAAGACCAACUUUACAGGGCAUACAACAGUUGAAGAAGAUGUUUCCUGGCAUCUUCUCCAUGAGACUCUGUUUGGGUCAGUUGUUGAUGAUCAGAAGCUUAUGAUUAGGGAUACUCGUUCAAACAAUACUUCCAAACCAAGCCACUCAGUUGAUGUUCACACUGCUGAAGUGAAGUGCCUCUCUUUCAAUCCCUAUAGUGAGUUCAUUGUUGCCACGGGAUCAGCUGACAAGACUGUUGCCUUGUAGGAUCUGAGAUAUCUGAAACUUAAGUUGUAUUCCUUUGAAUCACAUAAGGAUGAAAUAUUCCAGGUUCAGUGGUCACCUCACAAUGAGACUAUUUUGGCUUCCAGUGGUACAGAUUGCAGACUGAAUGUCUGGGAUUUAAGUAAAAUUGAAGAAGAACAAUCCCCAGAAGAUGCAGAAGAUGGACCACCAGAGUUAUUGUUUAUUCGUGGUGGCCACACUGCCAAGAUAUCUGAUUUCUCCUGGAAUCCCAACGAACCUUGGGUGAUUUGCUCUGUAUCAGAAGACAAUAUCACGCAAGUGUGGCAGAUGGCAGAAAAUAUUUAUAAUGAUGAAGACCCUAAAGGUAGUGUGGAUCCAGAAGGACAAGAGUCCUAGACAUGUCUGUAAUUCUUGUGAUUCUAGACUCCCCUCCCCUUUUUUUCCUCUCUACCCUGAGAUUGACUUAACACUGGUUUUGAGACAUCGACUUUGUUUGGCUAUCCCACCAUAUAGGUACCACCAACAAUGCUAUUAAACCAACAGUGGGUAUUUUCUAAAUAUUAACUGGGGGACUUGAUUCAGCAAUGCCACAGAUUUACAUUUCAAUUUUCUUCAGGAAUUUUAUAGUAACAAACCAGGUCUAAAAUAGCUACAGAAAGGGGAGUAUUAUGUGGAUUAUUUUUCUUCUUAUUCUGUAUCCCCAUGUUUUUCAGAAUCAUUUAAGUAAAGGCUAGAGUGAGUAAAGAAUAGAGCCAACUGAGGUAGGUCUCGAGUCAUGAAGUAUAAAUAAAUACUGCAAGAUGUCAUUUUUAUUCAGGAA